UACGUAGGGGGCAAGCGUUGUCCGGAAUCAUUGGGCGUAAAGCGCGCGUAGGCGGCCCGGUAAGUCCGCUGUGAAAGUCAAAGGCUCAACCUUUGAAUGCCGGUGGAUACUGUCGGGCUAGAGUCCGGAAGAGGCGAGUGGAAUUCCUGGCGUAGCGGUGGAAUGCGCAGAUAUCAGGAGGAACACCAAUAGCGAAGGCAGCUCGCUGGGACGGUACUGACGCUAAGGCGCGAAAGCGUGGGGAGCGAACAGG
RNAcentral lists this ribosomal RNA (253 nucleotides) under uncultured bacterium. Its description in RNAcentral is "partial 16S ribosomal RNA". It matches the Rfam family "Bacterial small subunit ribosomal RNA", at positions 524 to 776 of the family's 1533-position model. The record is from RNAcentral.